This 2953-nucleotide long non-coding RNA is filed under the name Homo sapiens (human). RNAcentral describes it as "PREDICTED lncRNA (TCONS_00103046)". The record is from RNAcentral. Lineage: Eukaryota; Metazoa; Chordata; Mammalia; Primates; Hominidae.
CAGGGCGCACCUUUCAACUAAGGAACUCCGGGUGGCUGUGUAGAACCAUCCUCACCCUAGAAAGGGGGAAACUGAAAGAAAAAGCAGAACACGCCAUUAACAAGGCCAGAACCCCGACUGCCAUUCCUGGACGGGAGCCACCAACACCCGCAAAAUCGAUCGAUUCAGCCUGGGACGCUUGCUGUUUCCGAACCUCUGUUGCCACCUAUCCCAGUUUGGAGGGAAUUUUCCCAAGGAUGGUGAAGAAGGGAUUUCCACACGCCGCCUCACUCAGCCCCGCACCCCUGGCCACCAGCCAGGACUUAGGGUGUAGUUAAGGAUCUUUCAAUUAGAAGGGAGGCUUCUGAUUCCCAAAAGCACUCAAAAUAUUUAAGGAAGUGCUUUUUAUAAUCAGUCCUAGAGCCUUGCUGCACUGGAUACUCCUGUUAAUUAAUUUCUUCUCCUUUGACAUUUUAAGUGCUAAUUAUAGGAGAAGGUGAUUAACACUGAGAAAGGAGGAGGGGUGUGUGUGUGUGUGUGUGUGUGUGUGUGUGUGUUUUUAAUCAUGACACAAAUUUCCCCCAGUGGAAAGUGACAUGUUUCUGGAGAUCCAGGGAAUUUAAACCAAUGAAUACAUAAAAACAGUCACAUGAGUGAUGACUAACAGUAGCAGUAGACAGGCCACCACUCUUCCUUGCCAUAGUCAUCCAAAAUGAAAUGAGCAUCUUUUGAAAACCUAAGCCUCAUUCUACUCCUGUCCCUCUUUUGUCACUCCUAUCUUCCUGUUUUCCAGGCUUCAUGACCACACUGCUGUAGGAAGCCAUAAGUUGGAAAUCAACGGGCCUGGCUUGAAGUGUGGCCUUAGGCAACACCGUUCUCAUCUACAUCUGGAUUCUCCAACAAAGCUGGGAAAAAAACGAUCCAAGGGAAGCCAAUCAAAGAGCCUGGAUUGCCAGUCUUCCCUGCUGCGAUCUCCGCCUGCGAUUCUCCAGGGGAAAUGUCCUUUAUGACCUUACAGCUCACCUGGAACCCUCCACCUAGGGCCCGAGGCAGCACAUCCUCUCGUGCCCGGGCACUUCCAGGCAUUGCCCUGAGUACUGGGCACUUCACACACUGGGCUGGACCACUCACCGGAGUGAAUAAGGAGGCUUGAAGCUGUCCUGGUACAACAAUGGAAUGAAGCGCUAGUCUCAGCUCAGCCACUUGGAAUAUGACUCCAACUCUCACAUUUCUGUGGGGUGUAUUCAUUUCAGCUUUUUGUUUGGUGCUAUGGGGAGGGAAGGGCCCUCAGACUGGCAUCCUUUUUCUUCCAGGAUGAUGAUGAAUAUUAUGAAAGUCUGAGGCUGUUUUUAAAAUUCUGCUCUAAUACGUUGUUUUUCUGUGCAUAAGAAUUAUGUAUUCUUAGCUGCAAAACUGGAAUCCGUCUGCUCAUGGAUAAACUUCUGGCCAUGAGCAUGUACCUUUCAGGUAACUUCCCUAUCAGAGAAGCUUACAAUCAAGAAUCCUACUUCCCUAGUUCCCUACACAGGCCCAGGAGGCUUUUGGUGGUAUCCGCUGGACUUUUGAAAAUUAGGGAAUUUCUCCUACUCUGAACUCUACCAGGAAUCACAUAUCAAGAUCUCAGUACCAUCUUACCUAGACCCUCUUGACCUCUUCUUUCUCCAUAAUCUCUUUCUAGCUCAUGUCAUCCAGACUCGAGGGCCCCAUUCUCAGUUUGACACUGAGGACACCCACGCUAUUAUCUCUGGCUGUGACCUUUCCCACGAGCUCCAAAUUCACACCAUCUUUUGACGUCUCCACUUAACUUCCCCAUUUCGGUGUCUCAAACUUGACAAUUCAAAACAGAACUCCCUCCCACUUCCAAACUGGUUUCCUACCCAACUUUCCCAGGCCCCCAGUUUCUCAAGUCAGAAAUCUAUGAGUCAUCCUUGAUGUUUGCCAUUCCCUCAUCCCUCCCAUCCAACCCAUUCGUAGGCUCUUGGGAAUCUACCUCCAAAAUGUCUCUGGAAUCCAUCCUCUUCUCUCCACCUCCACUGCCAACCGCCUCUCACCUGCAAUAGCUCUGAGGCAGCCUCCCCACUUCUUCUGCCUCCCAUCCCCACCCCUACAUAUUCCUGUCCUAUCUCCACCCAGAAGCAAACAAGAUCUUCUUUAACUGUAAAUUGGUUCACAUCUCCCCUGCUUAGAACUUUCCAAGGCCUUGACAUUAUUCCAAGAUCAAGACCAAACUCUUGACUGUGGCCAGUGAGACCUUUCCUGAACUGGUCCUACCUACCUCUGCAAACCCAUCUAGUGACACCUUUCCCUUAGCUUGCCUCCAACAUAGUGUAUUAGUUUCCUAUGGCUGCUGCAGGAAAUGACACAAAUUAUCCCCUUAUAGUCGUGGAAGCCAGAAGUCCAAAAUGGGCUGGAGCCAAGGCAGGCAGGGCUAUGCUGCUUGCAGAGGUUCUAGGGGAGAAUCUAUUUCUUGGUCUUCUUUGGCUUCUAGAGCUGCAAUCCUUGGCUCAUGGCGCCUUCCUCCACCUUCAGAGCCAGCAGUGUAGCAUCUUACUUGGUGAUCACAUUUCUUUCUUCUCCAGUGUCAUAUUUCCCUUUGCUUUACAUUGUCCUUUAAAUUUCUCUUAUAAGGAAACUGCGAUUGCAUUUAAGACCCACCCAGGUAAUCCAAGAUGAUCUUCCCAUCUCAAGACCCUUAACUGAAUCCCACCUCCAAAGUCCCUUUUGCCAGGUAAGGCAACAUUCCCAGGUCCCGGGGAUUAGGAUCUACAUAUGUUCGGGAGUGACUAUUGAGCCUACCAUGCAUACCACGCUCCUUCCCUCACCAGGGUCUUUGUACCUCUUGUCCCCCAUUACUAGAAUGCUCCCUUCUUCCCUCUCACUCUUUGCUUGGCCAUAUCUUUCUCAUUCUUGGGGACACAGCUUACCUGGCACCUCCUCAGACAACCUGUCUCGGACCAGCCCCUUAACAGCCUGA